RNAcentral lists this ribosomal RNA (915 nucleotides) under uncultured Nitrososphaerota archaeon. Its description in RNAcentral is "bacterial SSU rRNA". It matches the Rfam family "Archaeal small subunit ribosomal RNA", at positions 1 to 921 of the family's 1478-position model. The record is from RNAcentral. Lineage: Archaea; Thermoproteati; Nitrososphaerota.
UUCCGGUUGAUCCCGCCGGACCUGACUGCUAUCGGAUUGAUACUAAGCCAUGCGAGUCAUUGUAGCAAUACAAGGCAUACGGCUCAGUAACGCGUAGUCAACCUACCCUAUGGACGGAAAUAACCUCGGGAAACUGAGAAUAAUAUCCGAUAGAACAUUAUGCCUGGAAUGGUUUAUGUUCCAAAUGAUUUAUCGCCGUAGGAUGGGACUGCGGCCUAUCAGUUUGUUGGUGAGGUAAUGGCCCACCAAGACUAUUACAGGUACGGGCUCUGAGAGGAGUAGCCCGGAGAUGGGUACUGAGACACGGACCCAGGCCCUAUGGGGCGCAGCAGGCGAGAAAACUUUGCAAUGUGCGAAAGCACGACAAGGUUAAUCCGAGUGAUUUCUGCUAAAGAAAUCUUUUGUUAGUCCUAGAAACACUAACGAAUAAGGGGUGGGCAAGUUCUGGUGUCAGCCGCCGCGGUAAAACCAGCACCUCAAGUGGUCAGGAUGAUUAUUGGGCCUAAAGCAUCCGUAGCCGGCUCUGUAAGUCCUCGGUUAAAUCUGUACGCUUAACGUACAGGCUGCCGGGAAUACUGCAUAGCUAGGGAGUGGGAGAGGUAGACGGUACUCGGUAGGAAGGGGUAAAAUCCUUUGAUCUAUUGAUGACCACCUGUGGCGAAGGCGGUCUACCAGAACACGUCCGACGGUGAGGGAUGAAAGCUGGGGGAGCAAACCGGAUUAGAUACYCGGGUAGUCCCAGCUGUAAACUAUGCAAACUCAGUGAUGCAUUGGCUUGUGGCCMAUGCAGUGCUGCAGGSAAGCCGUUAAAGUUUGCCGCCUGGGAAGUACGUACGCAAGUAUGAAACUUAAAGGGAAUUGGCGGGGGAGCACCACAAGGGGUGAAGCCUGCGGUUCAAUUGGAGUCAACGCCGG